Molecule: ribosomal RNA, 175 nt
Filed under: uncultured bacterium
Lineage: Bacteria
Description: partial 16S ribosomal RNA
Rfam family: Bacterial small subunit ribosomal RNA
Source: RNAcentral
CUGGAAUCGCUAGUAAUCGCAGGUCAGCAUACUGCGGUGAAUACGUUCCCGGGUCUUGUACACACCGCCCGUCACACCAUGGGAGCCGGAAAUGCCCGAAGCCAGUGACCCAACCUUAGGGAGGGAGCUGUCGAAGGCAGGUCGGAUGACUGGGGUGAAGUCGUAACAAGGUAAC